AUGCCGCCAGACCACGCCGCCGCCGGCGUCAGCCUGUCGCCGGAUAUGCUGGCCAACAUCCACGGCCGCCUGGGCUUCCCCGACCGCCUCGCCUUCGCCGCGGUCUUCAGCGCCUCGCGCCACGCCUUCAGGCCGGAGGCACCAUGCCUCCUCCUACCAGGCCGGACGCCGGAGACCGCCACGCUCUUCUCCGUCGCCGACCGCCGCACCGCCACCGUGCACGCCCCGAGCCCCGCGCUGCGCAGCCACGCCUUCAUCGGCUCCUCCCGCGGGUGGCUCGUCACCGCCGACGCCGACGCCGCGCUGCACCUGGUCAACCCGGUGACCGGCGAGCAGCGCGCGCUCCCGGCCAUCACCACCGUCCCCUGCGUCCACGCGCUCGAGGGGGGCUCCCACUUGGAGUUCACGCUGGAGCCCUUCACCAGGGGCCCGCCGUACCCCUACGGCCGCCAGCCGGUUGGCACCUUCACGCUGGCAGCCGAGCAGAUGCGCGGCUUCCUCUACCGCAAGGUCGUCCUCGCCCCCGCCGCCGCCGCAGCCAUGCUGGUCACUGGCGCGUGCUUGGGCGUGCCGGCCUUUGCGACGACGGAGGACGCCGCGUGGAUGCUGGCUCCCUCACGGGACGGCGUGGAGGACGCCAUCCACCACGAGGGCAGGUUCUACUCCCUCGGGUACUCCGGCGCCGUGGAGGCGUGGGAGCGCGACCCCGGCACCGGCGAGUUCGGCAGCACGGCCGUCACGCCAAGGCUGGGCGACGACGCGGCCGGCCAGCCGUGGCGCCGACGCAGGUACCUCGUGGCGGGGCCGGGCGGGCGGUUAAUGGUGGUGCUCAAGGAAUUCAAGCAGACGACGGGCUGGUGUGGCCAGCGCCGGCAGACGUGGUCCUUCAAGGUGUAUGUGCUCGACGGAGCCCAGUGGAAGGAGACGGAGGACAUCGGAGACGCGGCGCUGUUCGUGGGGGCGAACGAGUCCCUGUGCGUGUCCACCAGGGGGCGCCCGGAGCUCAGGGCCGGCUGCGUCUACUACACCGACGACGACGAUCUGGAGCGAGCGUCGCCGAGCAAGGACGACGACCAGCUUGCCGUCGGGGUGUUCAGCCUCAAGGACGGCACGGUGAAGAAGGUGUGGGGGCUGGUGAAGAAGGUGUGGGGGCUGAGGCGGCACCGGAGCUGGCCGCAGCCGGUGUGGCUCACGCCUUCCGCUUCCAUCUAA
Molecule: ribosomal RNA, 1212 nt
Filed under: Triticum aestivum (bread wheat)
Lineage: Eukaryota; Viridiplantae; Streptophyta; Magnoliopsida; Poales; Poaceae
Description: partial small subunit ribosomal RNA
Source: RNAcentral